Molecule: long non-coding RNA, 742 nt
Filed under: Mytilus galloprovincialis (Mediterranean mussel)
Lineage: Eukaryota; Metazoa; Mollusca; Bivalvia; Mytilida; Mytilidae
Source: RNAcentral
GUGAAUUCGGAAUUUUAUUGCUAUAGAUAAGUUCAUAUCUAACCAUUCUUAAUGAAACGGCAAAGAAAAUAAUUCGUGUGGGUCGUACGUACAAAAAUAGUGAGCAAAUACGUAAUUGCUUAAGAUAAAACAAGCGUCAAAAUGCUCCACUUUCUUGGUCCUAUUUUUGACUCUCAACAACCACUUGGUGUUUAGACGCCCUUCUUUAUGUUACAUAUUUUUUUCUAUCUCAAGGUGAUUUAAAGGCAUUUAUAUAUAUAACCCAUAUAUAUCAUAAGAUACACUAUCAAAACUGCUACUAUUGAAACUCUCGAUGACAGCAACCCAUCUAAAAAUUUAAAAAAGUUGCGACAGUCAUCAAACAUUCGUCUAACGAUCUGCUGCGAUGAACAAGCAAACACACUAACUGUUUGGCAAGCUGUAAAUUGUGUAACUGCUAGACAAGUUGAGUAUGACGAUGAUAUUGUUGGUGGAUUGCAUUAUAUACAGUCGCACCUCGUAAUGUCGGAGUCGAAGGGAUCGAAUCAAAGUAUUCGACUUAUCCGAGGUUCCACUCCUCAAAGGUCGAGUAUAUCGUCAAAAUUUGGAAUACAGGAAAUACGGUAUGAGAUUUGUGUAAACUUUAUACUUUGAACAGUGUGUCUUUCUUCGAUAUGACACUUAUAUAGUGGUUGUGUAUUCUAUCUCAUAUUUUGGGUUAUUUAUGAAAAUUAAACACAAAUACUUUUUAAAAUAGAUCCAC